RNAcentral lists this ribosomal RNA (468 nucleotides) under uncultured bacterium. Its description in RNAcentral is "partial 16S ribosomal RNA". It matches the Rfam family "Bacterial small subunit ribosomal RNA", at positions 28 to 507 of the family's 1533-position model. The record is from RNAcentral.
GAUGAACGCUGGCGGCGUGCUUAACACAUGCAAGUCGAACGGAAAGGCCAGUGCUUGCACUGGUACUCGAGUGGCGAACGGGUGAGUAACACGUGGGUGAUCUGCCCUGUACUUCGGGAUAAGCUUGGGAAACUGGGUCUAAUACCGGAUAGGACAACUUUUUGGAUAUUGUUGUGGAAAGCUUUUGCGUUAUGGGAUGAGCUCGCGGCCUAUCAGCUUGUUGGUGGGGUAAUGGCCUACCAAGGCGUCGACGGGUAGCCGGCCUGCGAGGGUGUACGGCCACAUUGGGACUGAGAUACGGCCCAGACUCCUACGGGAGGCAGCAAUGGGGAAUAUUGCACAAUGGGCGCAAGCCUGAUGCAGCGACGCCGCGUGGGGGAUGAAGGCCUUCGGGUUGUAAACUCCUUUCGCUAGGGACGAAGCUUUUUUGUGACGGUACCUGGAGAAGAAGCACCGGCUAACUACGUG